AAAAAUCCCACAAGAACAUCCUCCCACGCAGGCACUGGGUGUUGUGGAUGUCCAAGGAGUUGAGCUUUUUCUGUGGAAAUCCCAAAAUCAUAAGAGAAAGGUGGAGAGAGUCAGUCUGGAUCACCAGCCUGUAAUUCCAUAUAAUAAGAAGCUUCCUCCUGGAAUCAUCACUCUGAUUGUUGCACAAGUUAAAUGCUUCUGCUGUGAGGAGCAGCAAAGCACAGCACCACGUGGCUUGGCAGUUGCUAGCACUUAAUCUGCUGUGUCAAAGGCUCUCCCCCAGCACAUCAAGUUCAAACACCUCUGACAAGCAUUCCGUGAUCCUGAUUUCUGCUAGCAAGUGCCUUGGGAAUAAACUGUCUCGGAGCCACUAAAUAAUGUGGUGGCUGAAGUGAACACUGCCAUGGCAGCUACAAAUUCCUGCUGGUUUUAGAGCCUCUCACACUACUGCAGGUCUGAGGUGAGGAAGAAGAAAAAGCAAAACCAUUAAAAGAUGUUUGCAGUGGUACAGCAGAGACUUGUGUUUGUGAUUAAGUCUUUUCAUGAGGAUGAUUUCAAGACAGAUUAGAGAGAAAUGAUAAAUGACAUCUGGCAAAGAAGUCAGUGAGGCCUGAGAGUGUAUGCAGAAAUGUUUCCUCACAUGGUGUGAGGAAAAAUGUGUAUAUUUCUCUCAGCAGAGGGUAGUGUUUUGCUUCUGAAAUGAACCUGAGAAAUAUUUAAAAGACAGCUUAAGCUCAAAAACAUUUCUCCUGGGAGCAAAUCAGAUGCUAAAAUUAUCCUUAUCAUUGCUCAUUAUUGCAGUACAGUCAGACUGUGUCCCAAUAGUUUUGGGAGCUCACCUGUGUCUCUGUCAGGAAAGACCAUCCCCAGAUUUCUUUAUCUCCGGACUGAAGGUGAAUUCAAGCACAUGUUAAAGACCAUAGGUCCUGGAGACUUUGGGGGAAACUCUAGGGAGGAGGACUAAUUCGAGGCACCAGGAUAAAAGAUUUAGAAAUAAAAAGGAUUUUCUGAGCUUGUGCAAAGAAAUAGAGAGCAAAUUAAGUUACUUCUUCACAUUUAAAGAGCCUCUAUUUGUCAUCCCAAAGCAUAAACUAUGGAAGAGCUCUCCUGGUUUUCCUGAUCAGCUCUUUUACACCCUUCCCAUUUGAGAGAAUGGGAGAACUCAGGGCAGGGAUGCUCUGGGAUCAUGGAUCUCAUUCGGAUGUCCCGGCAGCCGGGAGAGGGAAGCGUCCCAUUCCCACGGACACCACUAGAGGCCACCGCAAACCUCGACAAAGAGCUAAAAAUCCUCCAAUUUCCAGCAGAGAGCGAAUUUACAAAGAGGAGCCAGAAGACCCUACUGUGUCCCACAUGAGCAUGUGUUUCGUGUCUUCUGUAACGAGGGAAAAUGUGCCUGAGCUUACAUCAAGCUCAUGUAUCCAUCAGGUUUUAAAUCUCUUUUUAAGGGCUUUCUUUUCCUUGAAAGAAGGGUUAGAUAGAAGAAAUAUUUUUCAUCAUCAUGGUGACUUUUGUGAGGGUAAUAUGUGUAAUAUCUGUUUCAUGGAGGGAAGCUAUUAGGUCCAGAGAAUUUAAGAGACUUGCAGAGAUUAUUAGAUAUUGUUAUUAAUUUUCUGUAGAAACAUAACCUCCUCUGGGCCAAAGAUUGUUUAAAGCUUUUUUAUUUGCUAGGCCCAGCUAUCACAUACGUUAUAAUGAAGAAAAUGGACCACAACUUUCUUAAAAUCUAGCCUUUAUUUAAUAUAAUGAACAGCCUUGCACUGAAGUGCUGUUUUUUCUACAGCUAGGUGCUGACACCAGUUUCCAAUAUUACCUCAGCUUGUACAAACCACAUUCACCUGCAGCUGCAGGACCAGGAAGCUGAUGUAGCAUUUUUCAUGGCUGAAUGCAGA
Passer domesticus (house sparrow) is the source of this 1889-nucleotide long non-coding RNA. RefSeq lists it as uncharacterized. The record is from RefSeq and is a predicted model, not a curated record. Lineage: Eukaryota; Metazoa; Chordata; Aves; Passeriformes; Passeridae. The transcript is spliced from 3 exons.